GAUGAAGAACGCAGCGAAAUGCGAUAAGUAAUGUGAAUUGCAGAAUUCAGUGAAUCAUCGAAUCUUUGAACGCACAUUGCGCCCCUUGGUAUUCCGGGGGGCAUGCCUGUUCGAGCGUCAUUACAACCCUCAAGCUCUGCUUGGAAUUGGGCACCGUCCUCACUGCGGACGCGCCUCAAAGACCUCGGCGGUGGCUGUUCAGCCCUCAAGCGUAGUAGAAUACACCUCGCUUUGGAGUGGUUGGCGUCGCCCGCCGGACGAACCUUCUGAACUUUUCUCAAGGUUGACCUCGGAUCAGGUAGGGAUACCCGCUGAACUUAAGCAUAUCAAUAAGCGGAGGA
RNAcentral lists this ribosomal RNA (341 nucleotides) under Lasiodiplodia theobromae. RNAcentral's name for it is "eukaryotic LSU rRNA". The stretch from base 1 to 120 matches the Rfam family "5.8S ribosomal RNA", at positions 35 to 154 of the family's 154-position model. Lineage: Eukaryota; Fungi; Ascomycota; Dothideomycetes; Botryosphaeriales; Botryosphaeriaceae. The record is from RNAcentral.